UGCAUUGCAUAUACUAACGGAUGC
RNAcentral lists this non-coding RNA (24 nucleotides) under Arabidopsis thaliana (thale cress). Lineage: Eukaryota; Viridiplantae; Streptophyta; Magnoliopsida; Brassicales; Brassicaceae. The record is from RNAcentral.